RNAcentral lists this unclassified non-coding RNA (1003 nucleotides) under Hevea brasiliensis (rubber tree). The record is from RNAcentral. Lineage: Eukaryota; Viridiplantae; Streptophyta; Magnoliopsida; Malpighiales; Euphorbiaceae.
CUCUUUUUUUCAUUUCGCCUUUUCUCUUACUCAUCAAUAAACUUACACUACCUAGUCAACCUUAUCGUCCGAAGGCCCAUAGUAAAGGUAGGUAAGGGUACCUAGUCAACCUUAUCAUCUGAAGGCCCACAUAUCCAAUUUGCCCUCCAAAUGAUGGAAUGGGAAAGAAGGCGUUCUGUUUUCCAACCUGAUAAACUUAACUUUUGAAGGAAAUCUUUGUAAUGUUUAUCCAUCCAUGAUUGGCUCUCCAAAUGCACAGAUGUAUUUUCUUCCAUAAGUUUUGCCAUAACCAGUGCAUGAAUAAACGAUUGCAAGACAUCUGAAGAUGUUGAAUUUUUGUGCAUCAAAAUGCUGAUGCUUGUCUUCCUCUCCACUAGCAAGUACUUUGCUUUCCGAUGAGAUCCUGCAGAACGUAACAGCUCCGUCAUUUCCUGGUGAUCAAGUGAAGAAACUCUCACACCCAAGUGUACUUGCUUAUGCAACAAUUUAACAUUCUUUGAGCUCCAAAACGUGGUCCAUUUGGGUAAAAUAUGUUCCAUCCUAGAGACCUGUUCAGGGGAGAGAGCUUGGCCUGUCUCCAUGAAAUGCUGCAAAAGAAUUGAGCUCCUUUGCAUAUUUAAAGAUGUCAGUACAAGGCACCGAACAGCCCUGUAGUUUGCAUACAUAUGGAACAAGGUGAGAGAAAGAAACGAAAACCAGAUAGCUAAGGGGUGUCCAAUUGUUAUGCGAGCAAGGAGCAUCCCCAAUGCCAUGCCAGUCAUUGUUGCCAGUGUUUCUUGACUUCCUUCCUUGGCAGAUAUAUCUGCUGCAUUAUUCUCAAGAGCAAAAUGCUGUGUCAACGCAGCUCUAGUUGCACCACUGGCAACACCAGUGAAUGAUCUUGAUAGGCUCCCUAAGCAAACCACCAAUACAAAUGCUGAAGGAAACAAAGGAGAUACGAGGUCCAUCAACAUUCCAAGAUCAUUCAUAAGAUCUGCAACCAAACGCCACAUUUUGGCAUUGC